GUGGCUUGUGGCUCAGUGGCAGAGCGCUUGCCUCGCAUGUGUGUAAAGCACUGGGUAUGUGAGGCACUGGGUGUGUGAGGCACUGGGUUCAAUCCCCAGUACCACA
RNAcentral lists this transfer RNA (106 nucleotides) under Marmota monax (woodchuck). RNAcentral describes it as "tRNA.Ala". Lineage: Eukaryota; Metazoa; Chordata; Mammalia; Rodentia; Sciuridae. The record is from RNAcentral.